GUUGGAUGCACUGCUCACAUUCUCUUUUCUCUGCAGGAGAAAUCAUUUGCAGAUGGGAUCUUUGUCGAUGCUUAACUCUGCCAACAUAGAGGAGAGAUACAGGUAAAGAUGACUUUAAGGCAUACGUAGGAGGCAGUAACAAAAUGAAUUGGCAAGUAACAGGAUCAGAAGUGGAAGACAUGAAUAAAGAAUGGCACCCAUAUGUGUGGAUAUAUGUGGCUUCAGCAAAUGAUUAAUUACAGGGAAACUGGGAUAUGCAUCUGGGAAAUCCAGAUUGGAUACAAGUUCUGUGUUGAUGAGCUCACUGUAUUCGUCCAGUCUUCUCCUGAAAUCUGUGAGCAUCCUUAUGAGAUUUUGUUUGAACUCUUUGUCAGAGAAAAUACAGAACUAUCAAGAACCUUGGGUGACAGAGCCACGGAGGGAUAGAAGCAUGGGACUUCUAAAACCCAAAUGACCAAGAGAAAAUCAUUCAACCUGAACCAUCACAGUCUCCUGAGUGGUUUGUUUCACGGGAUUUUUGGAAGAAUAACAUAAAUUAAUGCAUGUAUGGGAAAAUGCUUGCAACCAUUAAGGUAC
Molecule: long non-coding RNA, 576 nt
Filed under: Equus caballus (horse)
Lineage: Eukaryota; Metazoa; Chordata; Mammalia; Perissodactyla; Equidae
Description: lncRNA (ENSECAG00000054608.1)
Source: RNAcentral